Chinchilla lanigera (long-tailed chinchilla) is the source of this 341-nucleotide long non-coding RNA. RefSeq lists it as uncharacterized. NCBI's taxonomy places the organism in Eukaryota, Metazoa, Chordata, Mammalia, Rodentia, Chinchillidae. The record is from RefSeq and is a predicted model, not a curated record. The transcript has 3 exons.
GCCGCUGAACUAAAUCCCCAGCCCCGAAAGAUUAAUUUUUGAAGACAGCCAAUUCACAUAUUUGAAGGAAAAGAUAUACAAUAAAGACUGGACACACUCGCUGGAUGAAAGAAGCUCCCAAAUUACAGUAGUGAUGACAGUUGGAAAGGUAACCAAUAAAAUUUAGUGCUACUCAAUCCCAGGGCAAAGAAGACAUGAACUGAGUUGGAAUGUUAUUCAGAACACAUGAACCACAGUGGUAUUUGACUGUAGAUGGCUGAUCAUAAGGUGGUCAACAUGGUGGUUAAUUGAGCUGCUAACAAAGAACUCUAUACGGUCUUCCUCUACAGAGAUCUAUAGGC